UCCUCUUAAUUACAAAUCCAUCCCUAAACCCUCUUUGUUCUCUAAUUAUUAAACCAUCACUAAACCAAACAUUGUUUACAAAUGUGAUAUUGCCUUCCUUCCUCUACGUCUACCUCGAAUUUCCAUGAUGUACUUCCGGUUAUCAUUUGUCCGUAGAAUCAAAACCAUCAAAUUAGAUAUGGAGCUGUGGUUAAUAAAGCUUAACAAUAUGAUUCUUUCACCGCAAAACCAUCAAACCACGAGUAAACCAAUAACAUCUAUUUGGUUCGAAAUCAUAAUUUGAAUAUUUAUGAAUUUCCUAAAAUAAGUGACCUCCCACAAUUAAUUCCUAUAUUAUAGUGAAUCAUCCUAACCAUUCACAUUACUAGCACAAGAUU
Molecule: long non-coding RNA, 377 nt
Filed under: Brassica napus (rape)
Lineage: Eukaryota; Viridiplantae; Streptophyta; Magnoliopsida; Brassicales; Brassicaceae
Description: long non-coding RNA (BNAP_LNC015997)
Source: RNAcentral